AUGAGGAUGAUGAGGAUGACGAGGAAGAACAUCCCGGAGCCAUCGAUUCCCUGGGAUCCUUCCCUUCCUGGAAUUCCCUUUUCCCACCCCAAAGGGCCCUCCCUGGCCCCCCCAGUGCUCCUAAAAAGAUCCGGGAAAAGCCGGGAAUGCUCCAGGAAAAUCCGGGAAUGCUCCGGGAAAAGCUGGGAAUGCUGCGGGAAAAGCUGGGAAUGCUCUGGGAAAAGCCGGGAAUGCUGCGGGAAAAGCUGGGAAUGCUGCAGGAAAAGUUGGGAAUGCUUCAGGAAAAGUUGGGAAAGCUUCAGGAAAAGUUGGGAAUGCUGCAGGAAAAGCCGGGAAUGCUUCAGGAAAAGUUGGGAAAAGCCAGGAAUGCUGCAGGAAAAGCCGGGAAUGCUGCAGGAAAAGUUGGGAAUGCUGCAGGAAAAGCCGGGAAUGCUUCAGGAAAACUGCAGGAAAAGCCGGGAAUGCUGCAGGAAAAGCCGGGAAUGCUGCAGGAAAAGUUGGGAAAAGCCGGGAAUGCUCCAGGAAAAGCCGGGAAUGCUGCAGGAAAAGCCAGGAAUGCUCCAAGAAAAGCCGGGAAUGCUCCAGAAGCGCCGUUCCCUUUGCGCUGGGAGAUUGAAAUCCCUGGGAACGGGGGCGAUUCCAGCCCCAAAAUUCCCCUCACGGAAUUCUUUGGGAAUUCUGCUCCCCCUUCCCUGCAGGGAGAAACAGGAAAAGGAGGAAAAGCAGCGGGAAAAGUCAGGAAUGCUGCAGGAAAAGCUGGGAAUGCUCCAGGAAAAGCCAGGAAUGCUCUGGGAAGAGCUGGGAAAAGCCGGGAAUGCUGCAGGAAAAGGAGGAAAAGCCGGGAAUGCUCUGGGAAAAGCCGGGAAUGCUCCGCGAAAAGGAGGAAAAGCGGCAGGAACGAGCUCAUUGCUGGGAAUUUCCAUCCCUAAAAAAUCCCUAAAAAAUCCCGGGAAGGGUCAGGAUUGAGGAAAAGCAGGAAAAAAUGGAUUUAUUUUUUUCCCUGGAUCCGAGUGGGAGGAGCUCCAGGAGGACUCCGAGCCCCGGGAAUCUCCUGAAUCAGCGGAUUCGAUUCCCAGCGAGGAAAAUUUCAGGAAUUUUUCCCUUUUUCCAGGAAAUCCCGUUCCUUUUCCAUCAUUUUCUGUGAUUUAGGGCUUUGGAUUGGGAGGAAUUUGGGAAUUACAGGAAAAUUUUUCCUUUUUUUUCCCAGCACUUUGACCUUGGGCACUUCCCGGUUUUCCAUUUUCCACCUGUUUGUGAAAAUUCCCGAAAAAUUCGGGAUCUUUUUGCCUUUUCCGCCCAUUUCCCUCUCUCAAAGCGGAAAUUCCCUUUUUUUUCCCGCCCGAUUUUGGGGAUUUUUACCUCGUUGUGAAUUUUUUCAGCCCCUCCGGCUUCAGGACCUCGAUUUUUUUUAACUUUUCCCAUCGUUUUUCCAUAAAAAUCCCUCAUUUCCCGCCCAUUCCCAGCAUUUCGGGCUCUGCCACAAGGAAAUUUGGGGUUUUUUGGGGUGGAUUUUCAGGAAUUUCGGUGUUGUCCGAGCAGCUUUUCCCCUCCACCCCCGGGGAAUUUUCCAUCCGCGUUUUCCCAAAAAAAAGAUGGAAAAGCCUCAUUUGAGAAGAGAGAGAGGAAGAGGAGCCCCUUGGGAUGAAGAUUUGGGGGAUUUUGGGGGAUUUUGGGAGCCGUCCGAGGGAUCCGAGCCCGUUCUGGGCUGGGAAAAGCUGGAAUGGGUUAAAAGAAAUAAAUAAUAAUAAUAAAAAAAAGAAUUCCA
RNAcentral lists this long non-coding RNA (1765 nucleotides) under Cyanistes caeruleus (blue tit). RNAcentral describes it as "lncRNA (ENSCCEG00000001954.1)". The record is from RNAcentral. Lineage: Eukaryota; Metazoa; Chordata; Aves; Passeriformes; Paridae.